Molecule: ribosomal RNA, 387 nt
Filed under: Cnidoglanis macrocephalus (estuary catfish)
Lineage: Eukaryota; Metazoa; Chordata; Actinopteri; Siluriformes; Plotosidae
Description: partial 12S ribosomal RNA
Rfam family: Bacterial small subunit ribosomal RNA
Source: RNAcentral
GCUUAGCCCUAAACCCAGAUGUGUCCACACACGCAUAUCCGCCCGGGUACUACGAGCACAGCUUGAAACCCAAAGGACUUGGCGGUGUCUCAGACCCACCUAGAGGAGCCUGUUCUAGAACCGAUAACCCCCGUUAAACCUCACCACUUCUUGUUUUACCCGCCUAUAUACCGCCGUCGUCAGCUUACCCUGUGAAGGCCUAGUAGUAAGCAAAAUGGGCCAGCCCAAAAACGUCAGGUCGAGGUGUAGCGUACGAAGUGGGAAGAAAUGGGCUACAUUUUCUAAAUACAGAAUAUUACGAAUAGCACUCUGAAAAUAAUGCUUAAAGGUGGAUUUAGCAGUAAAAAGCAAAUAGAGAGUCCUUUUGAAUCAGGCUCUGAGACGCGC